Molecule: non-coding RNA, 443 nt
Organism: Schizosaccharomyces pombe (fission yeast)
Lineage: Eukaryota; Fungi; Ascomycota; Schizosaccharomycetes; Schizosaccharomycetales; Schizosaccharomycetaceae
Source: the annotation of a GenBank genome assembly
UACCUUCGUUUGUUACGGUUGAGAUGUAUGUUUAAAGUCUACCUGAGGCGUUGGACUAAAAUGGAUGGAUGCCUGCAUUAGCUCACUCAUACGUCAUAAAAUGUACUACGCAAUGCCCUGACUCCAUAAUAUGGGGUUUAUCGAAGCGCAUAAAAAAAUAGAGAGUAGAAUGUUUGACGAUGCAACAUAGCUUGCGUUUUCCAGUGUUUCGGUAUAUUAUUUUGUGAAGCUUCUUGUACAUCCGUGAGUUAAGUUAGUUAAGAAAUGAAUAGUGAGCGGUCUAUGGAAAAGUGAUAUGAUAAAUAUACAUCUAUAGUAAGAAAUUAGAAUCGCUGAAUAUGAGUUGUUUGUUUUCAAAACAAAUUCAAUGUAACUUUUGAAGUCUAUCAGAUCAGAGAGCUUGCCCGACAGGAUUACAACAAUAAUAGUUUUGGUCUUAUUAA